AUACGUGGUUGACACUCUCUAGUUGUGUACAUAUGUCAUGCCAAUAAAAAAAAAAAAAAAAAAAAAAAAAAAAAAAAAAGAUUCUUUCGCCUUUUACUAAAGAAUUCCGUGGAGAGGAGCAGUUCAAUGAGUCUUGAACAUUUUUCGAUAUCCGACUUUGGUCGGUUU
This is a non-coding RNA of Ciona savignyi (Pacific transparent sea squirt), 168 nucleotides long. Lineage: Eukaryota; Metazoa; Chordata; Ascidiacea; Phlebobranchia; Cionidae. The record is from Rfam.